UGACGAAGCGACGCCGCGUGCGGGAAGAAGGCCUUCGGGUUGUAAACCGCUGUCGGGAGUUAAGAAAUGCAAGGAUGUUAAUAGCGUUCUUGCUUGACUAAGGCUCCGGAGGAAGCCACGGCUAACUCUGUGCCAGCAGCCGCGGUAAUACAGAGGCGGCAAGCGUUGUUCGGAAUUAUUGGGCGUAAAGAGCACGUAGGCGGCUAUGUAAGUCGGUUGUGAAAGCCUUCCGCUCAACGGAAGAACAGCAUCCGAUACUGCAUGGCUUGAGUGCGGGAGAGGAGAGUGGAACUUCUGGUGGAGCGGUGAAAUGCGUAGAUAUCAGAAGGAACGCCGGCGGCGAAAGCGACUCUCUGGCCCGCAACUGACGCUGAGUGUGCGAAAGCUAGGGGAGCAAACGGGAUUAGAUACCCCGGUAGUCCUAGCCGUAAACGAU
This 436-nucleotide ribosomal RNA is filed under the name uncultured bacterium. RNAcentral describes it as "bacterial SSU rRNA". It matches the Rfam family "Bacterial small subunit ribosomal RNA", at positions 384 to 810 of the family's 1533-position model. The record is from RNAcentral.